Molecule: ribosomal RNA, 168 nt
Filed under: uncultured bacterium
Lineage: Bacteria
Description: partial 16S rRNA
Rfam family: Bacterial small subunit ribosomal RNA
Source: RNAcentral
UAGGGAAUCUUCGGCAAUGGACGAAAGUCUGACCGAGCAAUGCCGCGUGAGUGAAGAAGGUUUUCGGAUCGUAAAACUCUGUUGGUAGAGAAGAACGUUGGUGAGAGUGGAAAGCUCAUCAAGUGACGGUAACUACCCAGAAAGGGACGGCUAACUACGUGCCAGCAG